Molecule: ribosomal RNA, 715 nt
Filed under: Ocoaxo ornatipennis
Lineage: Eukaryota; Metazoa; Arthropoda; Insecta; Hemiptera; Cercopidae
Description: eukaryotic LSU rRNA
Rfam family: Eukaryotic large subunit ribosomal RNA
Source: RNAcentral
UGAAAAUGGAUGGCGCUGUAGCGUCGUGCCUAUACUCGGCCGUCAACGGCACAGGGGGCGGCACCUUCGCGGGUGCCGGGCCGUUAUGCCUUGACGAGUAGGAGGGUCGCGUCGGUGGGCGCAGAAGGGUCUGGGCGUGAGCCUGCCUGGAGCCACCGUCGGCGCAGAUCUUGGUGGUAGUAGCAAAUACUCCAGCGAGGACCUGGAGGACUGACGUGGAGAAGGGUUUCUUGUGAACAGCUGUUGCACAAGAGUCAGUCGAUCCUAAGCCCUAGGAGAAAUCCUAUGUCGAUGGGAAGCCGUUGAAAAUAGAAGGCGGUGCGCUAUUUAUUUAGCGUAGUACGCUCUUGUAUUGGAAGGCGACCCACGGGGCGAAAGGGAAUCCGGUUCCUAUUCCGGAACCCGGCUGCGGAACCGUUCAUUAGCGGGCCCUCAUCCGAGAGCUCGACGGGGCAACCCGAAGAGACCCGGAGACGCCGGCGGGAGGUCCGGAGAGAGUUUUCUUUUCUCUAUAAGCGUUCGAGUUCCCUGGAAGCCUAUAGCAGGGAGAUAGGGUUUGGAACGCGAAGAGCACCGCAGUUGCGGCGGUGUCCGGAUCUUCCCCUCGGACCUUGAAAAUCCGGGAGAGGGCUACGCGGAAUGUCCGCGCCGGAUCGUACCCAUAUCCGCAGCAGGUCUCCAAGGUUAAGAGCCUCUAGUCGAUAGAAUAAUGUAG